CAGGCUUAACACAUGCAAGUCGAGGGGCAGCAUGGUCUUAGCUUGCUAAGGCCGAUGGCGACCGGCGCACGGGUGAGUAACACGUGUCCAACCUGCCGUCUACUCUUGGACAGCCUUCUGAAAGGAAGAUUAAUACAAGAUGGCAUCAUGAGUCCGCAUGUUCACAUGAUUAAAGGUAUUCCGGUAGACGAUGGGGAUGCGUUCCAUUAGAUAGUAGGCGGGGUAACGGCCCACCUAGUCUUCGAUGGAUAGGGGUUCUGAGAGGAAGGUCCCCCACAUUGGAACUGAGACACGGUCCAAACUCCUACGGGAGGCAGCAGUGAGGAAUAUUGGUCAAUGGGCGAGAGCCUGAACCAGCCAAGUAGCGUGAAGGAUGACUGCCCUAUGGGUUGUAAACUUCUUUUAUAAAGGAAUAAAGUCGGGUAUGGAUACCCGUUUGCAUGUACUUUAUGAAUAAGGAUCGGCUAACUCCGUGCCAGCAGCCGCGGUAAUACGGAGGAUCCGAGCGUUAUCCGGAUUUAUUGGGUUUAAAGGGAGCGUAGAUGGAUGUUUAAGUCAGUUGUGAAAGUUUGCGGCUCAACCGUAAAAUUGCAGUUGAUACUGGAUAUCUUGAGUGCAGUUGAGGCAGGCGGAAUUCGUGGUGUAGCGGUGAAAUGCUUAGAUAUCACGAAGAACUCCGAUUGCGAAGGCAGCCUGCUAAGCUGCAACUGACAUUGAGGCUCGAAAGUGUGGGUAUCAAACAGGAUUAGAUACCCUGGUAGUCCACACGGUAAACGAUGAAUACUCGCUGUUUGCGAUAUACAGCAAGCGGCCAAGCGAAAGCGUUAAGUAUUCCACCUGGGGAGUACGCCGGCAACGGUGAAACUCAAAGGAAUUGACGGGGGCCCGCACAAGCGGAGGAACAUGUGGUUUAAUUCGAUGAUACGCGAGGAACCUUACCCGGGCUUAAAUUGCAGAUGAAUUACGGUGAAAGCCGUAAGCCGCAAGGCAUCUGUGAAGGUGCUGCAUGGUUGUCGUCAGCUCGUGCCGUGAGGUGUCGGCUUAAGUGCCAUAACGAGCGCAACCCUUGUUGUCAGUUACUAACAGGUUCCGCUGAGGACUCUGACAAGACUGCCAUCGUAAGAUGUGAGGAAGGUGGGGAUGACGUCAAAUCAGCACGGCCCUUACGUCCGGGGCUACACACGUGUUACAAUGGGGGGUACAGAGGGCCGCUACCACGCGAGUGGAUGCCAAUCCCCAAAACCUCUCUCAGUUCGGACUGGAGUCUGCAACCCGACUCCACGAAGCUGGAUUCGCUAGUAAUCGCGCAUCAGCCACGGCGCGGUGAAUACGUUCCCGGGCCUUGUACACACCGCCCGUCAAGCCAUGGGAGCCGGGGGUACCUGAAGUGCGUAACCGCGAGGAGCGCCCUAGGGUAAAACUGGUGACUGGGGCUAAGUCAUAAC
RNAcentral lists this ribosomal RNA (1445 nucleotides) under uncultured organism. RNAcentral's name for it is "SSU rRNA". It matches the Rfam family "Bacterial small subunit ribosomal RNA". The record is from RNAcentral.